RNAcentral lists this ribosomal RNA (258 nucleotides) under uncultured bacterium. RNAcentral's name for it is "partial 16S ribosomal RNA". It matches the Rfam family "Bacterial small subunit ribosomal RNA", at positions 524 to 781 of the family's 1533-position model. The record is from RNAcentral.
UACGUAGGGUGCAAGCGUUAAUCGGAAUUACUGGGCGUAAAGCGUGCGCAGGCGGUUUUGUAAGUCUGUCGUGAAAUCCCCGGGCUCAACCUGGGAACUGCAUCUGUGACUGCAUAGCUAGAGUACGGUAGAGGGGGAUGGAAUUCCGCGUGUAGCAGUGAAAUGCGUAGAUAUGCGGAGGAACACCGAUGGCGAAGGCAAUCCCCUGGACCUGUACUGACGCUCAUGCACGAAAGCGUGGGGAGCAAACAGGAUUAG